AGGACGAACGCUGGCGGCGUGCUUAACACAUGCAAGUCGAGCGGUAAGGCCCUUCGGGGUACACGAGCGGCGAACGGGUGAGUAACACGUGGGUGAUCUGCCUCGCACUCUGGGAUAAGCCUGGGAAACUGGGUCUAAUACCGGAUAUGACCUUACAUCGCAUGGUGUUUGGUGGAAAGAUUUAUCGGUGCGAGAUGGGCCCGCGGCCUAUCAGCUUGUUGGUGGGGUAAUGGCCUACCAAGGCGACGACGGGUAGCCGGCCUGAGAGGGCGACCGGCCACACUGGGACUGAGACACGGCCCAGACUCCUACGGGAGGCAGCAGUGGGGAAUAUUGCACAAUGGGCGAAAGCCUGAUGCAGCGACGCCGCGUGAGGGAUGACGGCCUUCGGGUUGUAAACCUCUUUCGACAGGGACGAAGCGCAAGUGACGGUACCUGUAGAAGAAGCACCGGCCAACUACGUGCCAGCAGCCGCGGUAAUACGUAGGGUGCGAGCGUUGUCCGGAAUUACUGGGCGUAAAGAGCUUGUAGGUAGGCUUGUCGCGUCGAUCGUGAAAACUUGGGGCUCAACCCCAAGCUUGCGGUCGAUACGGGCAGGCUUGAGUACUUCAGGGGAGACUGGAAUUCCUGGUGUAGCGGUGAAAUGCGCAGAUAUCAGGAGGAACACCGGUGGCAAAGGGGGGG
This 684-nucleotide ribosomal RNA is filed under the name Nocardia cyriacigeorgica. Its description in RNAcentral is "bacterial SSU rRNA". It matches the Rfam family "Bacterial small subunit ribosomal RNA", at positions 26 to 726 of the family's 1533-position model. The record is from RNAcentral. Lineage: Bacteria; Bacillati; Actinomycetota; Actinomycetes; Mycobacteriales; Nocardiaceae.